RNAcentral lists this ribosomal RNA (427 nucleotides) under uncultured bacterium. Its description in RNAcentral is "partial 16S ribosomal RNA". It matches the Rfam family "Bacterial small subunit ribosomal RNA", at positions 355 to 774 of the family's 1533-position model. The record is from RNAcentral.
UGGGGAAUAUUGCACAAUGGGCGCAAGCCUGAUGCAGCCAUGCCGCGUGUAUGAAGAAGGCCUUCGGGUUGUAAAGUACUUUCAGCGAGGAGGAAGGCGGUAAGGUUAAUAACCUUAUCGAUUGACGUUACUCGCAGAAGAAGCACCGGCUAACUCCGUGCCAGCAGCCGCGGUAAUACGGAGGGUGCAAGCGUUAAUCGGAAUUACUGGGCGUAAAGCGCACGCAGGCGGUCUGUCAAGUCGGAUGUGAAAUCCCCGGGCUCAACCUGGGAACUGCAUUCGAAACUGGCAGGCUAGAGUCUUGUAGAGGGGGGUAGAAUUCCAGGUGUAGCGGUGAAAUGCGUAGAGAUCUGGAGGAAUACCGGUGGCGAAGGCGGCCCCCUGGACAAAGACUGACGCUCAGUUGCGAAAGCGUGGGGAGCAAACA